AUUCAGCUGAAAAGUUUCAAACAGGACGAAACGUCCGUUCUGGAU
Molecule: non-coding RNA, 45 nt
Filed under: Schistosoma bovis
Lineage: Eukaryota; Metazoa; Platyhelminthes; Trematoda; Strigeidida; Schistosomatidae
Also listed under: 1 other name
Source: RNAcentral